This 305-nucleotide ribosomal RNA is filed under the name uncultured bacterium. RNAcentral's name for it is "bacterial SSU rRNA". It matches the Rfam family "Bacterial small subunit ribosomal RNA", at positions 336 to 658 of the family's 1533-position model. The record is from RNAcentral.
CUCCUACGGGAGGCAGCAGUGGGGAAUAUAGAAAAAUGGGGGAAACUCUGAUGCAGCAACGCCGCGUGAGUGAAGAAGUAUUUCGGUAUGUAAAGCUCUAUCAGCAGGGAAGAAAAUGACGGUACCUGAGUAAGAAGCCCCGGCUAACUACGUGCCAGCAGCCGCGGUAAUACGUAGGGGGCAAGCGUUAUUCGGAUUUACUGGGUGUAAAGGGAGCGUAGACGGCGAUACAAGUCUGAAGUGAAAGCCAGGGGCUCAACCCCGGGACUGCUUUGGAAACUGUGUUGCUGGAGUGCUGGAGAGGG